AGAACAGUCCCAAAAUGUUUAUCUUACUCCGUUGUCUGUUACUAAAUCACCGUGUGGCUGAUCAUACGGCUUAUCAACGUCAAAGCCCAUGAGAGAACAUCUAGUAUCUCCAGUGUCUGUUACUUCCUAUCACCUUGUGUCAGUUCUUACCAUCUUCCACUAACAAGCAGCUACAGGUCAUGAUCUCCAGUGAGCUUUCGGCUAUCGAGCUACUGCAAGAUGCCACGGAGAACAGUCCCAAAAUGUUUAUCUUACUCCGUUGUCUGUUACUAAAUCACCGUGUGGCUGAUCAUACGGCUUAUCAACGUCAAAGCCCAUGAGAGAACAUCUAGUAUCUCCAGUGUCUGUUACUUCCUAUCACCUUGUGUCAGUUCUUAC
This is a long non-coding RNA of Pygocentrus nattereri (red-bellied piranha), 378 nucleotides long. RefSeq lists it as uncharacterized. The record is from RefSeq and is a predicted model, not a curated record. NCBI's taxonomy places the organism in Eukaryota, Metazoa, Chordata, Actinopteri, Characiformes, Serrasalmidae. The transcript has 4 exons.